GACGAACGCUGGCGGCGUGCUUAACACAUGCAAGUCGAACGGAAAGGCUCCUGCUUGCAGGGGUACUCGAGUGGCGAACGGGUGAGUAACACGUGGGUGAUCUGCCUUGUACUCUGGGAUAAGCUUGGGAAACUGGGUCUAAUACCGGAUAAUAACUGCCUUUAGUGUGGUGGUUGGAAAGUUUUUUCGGUGCAAGAUGAGCUCGCGGCCUAUCAGCUUGUUGGUGGGGUAAUGGCCUACCAAGGCGUCGACGGGUAGCCGGCCUGAGAGGGUGUACGGCCACAUUGGGACUGAGAUACGGCCCAGACUCCUACGGGAGGCAGCAGUGGGGAAUAUUGCACAAUGGGCGGAAGCCUGAUGCAGCGACGCCGCGGGGGGGAUGACGGCCUUCGGGUUGUAAACUCCUUUCGACAGGGACGAAGCUUUUUGUGACGGUACCUGUAUAAGAAGCACCGGCUAACUACGUG
Molecule: ribosomal RNA, 467 nt
Filed under: uncultured bacterium
Lineage: Bacteria
Description: partial 16S ribosomal RNA
Rfam family: Bacterial small subunit ribosomal RNA
Source: RNAcentral